UUGUCUUCAGGGCGGGGUGCAAGUCCCCACCGGCGGUAAAAGUCCGCGAGCGCAAGCUGAACCGGUGUGAUUCCGGUACCGACAGUACAGUCUGGAUGGAAGAAGACA
Molecule: non-coding RNA, 108 nt
Filed under: bovine gut metagenome
Description: FMN riboswitch (RFN element)
Rfam family: FMN riboswitch aptamer (RFN element)
About the family: The RFN element is a highly conserved domain that is found frequently in the 5'-untranslated regions of prokaryotic mRNAs that encode for flavin mononucleotide (FMN) biosynthesis and transport proteins. This element is a metabolite-dependent riboswitch that directly binds FMN in the absence of proteins.
Source: RNAcentral